This is a long non-coding RNA of Fukomys damarensis (Damara mole-rat), 1655 nucleotides long. RefSeq lists it as uncharacterized. NCBI's taxonomy places the organism in Eukaryota, Metazoa, Chordata, Mammalia, Rodentia, Bathyergidae. The transcript is spliced from 3 exons. The record is from RefSeq and is a predicted model, not a curated record.
CAUAUAGUCCCGGGGUUUGUCCCGAGGUUGGAGCUCUGGGAGAAGGAGUCUGGCUUAGUUUGAGAAAGUUAGCAAGAAGAGCAACAGAAGUGGGGACUUGAACGGAGAUGAGCACAGGGAGUGGGACAAAGGGACUGGAGAAGACAGCUUGGCAUGAACUCUCCUUGGUCAAGUGUGGUCGCUGCGUGGCUGUGCACCCUCUGUCCUGGCUCAGCUGCACCCCUCCAGUCCCUCCUCAGCCUCUCCAGGGGGUUGCAGCUUAGGCUUCUCUCUGCGACUAUCUGCCAGUCCUUAGGGACCACGGUUCAUAAAGGAAUCCUGAUGCACAUCCUGAAGCCCCAGAUUCUUCACUGACUACCUGCAGUCUUGGCUUAGUCAUUGAAUUGUGUGUGUGUGUGUGUAAGUAAUGGAAGUCUUAUUACCUUGCCCUGGCUGGCCCCAAGUAGCUGGGAUUAUAGGUAGGCCACUAUGCCUAGCUCAGUGACUGAACUUUCUGAGCUUCAGUUUUUCAUCUGUUCAGGGGGGUGAUGGAAUUAUCCCUACUCCUCAAGUUGCUCUGAGGAUUACAUCUGAGAAAGAGUUUUAAAUGUCUGGUGUAAUACGUGGCACAAGGCAAAUGCACCAUAGCUGGAGUUGUGGAGACUGAUGUAAGUUGUGUGUCCCUGGAUGGGACACAGGAGUCACAGCUUCUUGGACCCAGACCUUAAGUGAUGCAAGAGGGCAAGGGCUUUCCCAACAUCAACUGUGACCAUCUUUCAGCUGCCUUGCGGCUGGCUGAAAGUGUAUUCCCAUUCCCUGCUUCUGCUGAAACAGGGUUUCCUCUUCCCCAAAGAGCUUAGCGGAGCCAAAAGACAUCUGGGAUAUUAGCUUGAGGACCACCCAUGAGGGGUCUCCUGGAGAUUGAGAACUUGGGAGGAACUUGAGAGAUAGUAGUGCUCCUAUAUAGUAGAUGGGGUGGGACCAAAGACAUACUAGCCCUUAGCUCUUAAGUAGUCCACAUCAGAAUUGCUGUGCUAGUGAAUCAGUAUUCUUUUGAAAAAGUAUACCUAAAAUUAUUUCAGCAAAAGGGGAAAAUUUAUGAAGGGCCAGGCUUUCAAGGGUCAGGUUUUAGUUGUAGCUUGAUCCAGCAUUGAGUUUCACAAGGAUACAGUCUCUUUUCAUAGCUUGGAUGUUCUUUCCUCCAUGUUGGCCUUACUCUCCACAGCAUAUAAAAAUGCCACCACAAAUUCUAUGUCUACAUCUCCUUCAAUACAGCUGAAAAGAGAAUAUCUGCUUCUUGAGGCUCUGGAACAUGUCUGGGACUCAUUGUGAGCCAUUGUGGGGUCACUUAUCCAUUCCAAUCCAAUCAUUAUAGCCAGAGGGUUGGCCAAACCUGAUCCAAUCGCUGUGGCUGAGGGGGUUCUGUUUGCCAUUGGCUACCCCAAGUCACUUGUGCAUUCCUGGAGACCAAUUGGAACUCAAGAGCUGGGAGAGAGAAGGGGAGGGAGAGGUUUGUUAUAGUUUAUAUUUAAAUGUCUUUCUAAGACCCCAUGAGAUCAGAGGUGAGGCUUUGGGGAGGAGAUUGGGUAGGUGGGUGUGAUACUAACCAGUGGGCUGGAUGAAUUUAUAGCUAAAUGUGAUAUUGGGAGGUGAAGUCUGGUUGGAGGAGAUGGGUC